Molecule: ribosomal RNA, 253 nt
Filed under: uncultured bacterium
Lineage: Bacteria
Description: partial 16S ribosomal RNA
Rfam family: Bacterial small subunit ribosomal RNA
Source: RNAcentral
UACGUAGGUGGCAAGCGUUGUCCGGAUUUACUGGGCGUAAAGGGCGCGUAGGCGGUGCGGUACGGUUUCGGUGAAAUCCCUCGGCCCAACCGAGGAACAGCCGGAGCUACGGCCGCACUAGACGGCAUCAGGGGACAGUGGAACUUCCGGUGGAGCGGUGAAAUGCGUAGAUAUCGGAAGGAACGCCGGUGGCGAAAGCGACUGUCUGGGGUGCCUGUGACGCUGAGGCGCGAAAGCCAGGGGAGCGAACGGG